AGGUGAGCUGCAACUGCUGUGUCUAGAGCUGCAAAGAAAAUCACAAGGGCAGGGAGUAAGGCUGAUGCUGUCAGGGUCCCAGGGGAAAGUUGAGAAUAAAAGUGGAGCAAGAAGGCAGGGCACACAUCUGGAGCAGUACCAUAAGCAUAGAAACUGAUGGACACUGUCUUCAGCACUGAGAUUCAGUGAUAACUGCUUUUUUUUUUUGUGUGUGUGUGUGUGUGUGUGUAUAUAUAGCACAACUGGUUAUACAAGCAUGGUGUUUAUGGGGUCAGGCAGGGAGCCUUUGUGGCUGACAGUUGUUUGCCAGCAGAGGCCAGUCUCUCCUAUUUUAGCCCAUGUCUUUGUAUGGAACUGUCAUUUCAGCUGAGAGAAAAAUAUGCCUGACAUUGGAAAAGCUCUGGAAGAAAUACUCUAGUCUGUCGUCAGACUGUGAACUGCCCCUUUCUUAGUAUUCAUUUGCAACAAAAAUGCCUUUGUCUAUAAAAACUGUGGUGACUUACUGUUGUUAUUAUCUUUUCUUCUUUUUUCCCCACUCAGUGACUGCAAUUCAAAAGUGCCAGUGUGUAUGGCAUACUUUCUUUCAUAAACAGUAUAUUGUACAGAAAGCCCAAACAGGCAAACUGCUAAUUGCCAGUCCUGCAAACUCUGCUACACCCGUGCGUCCUUUAAGUAUCAUAUGUGGUUCUACAAAAUGCCAAGGAUGUUAAAUGCUCUAAAGGAACCACCUAAAAGACCUGUGAGCUUUCUUCAUCAAUGCCUGGGAGAGACAAGUAUGUUCAUUUGCUUGCAAAGUGUGAGUCACCUGUGCUUAUGUGUCUCAGUGGCCCACCUUUUAAAAGCAAGUUCCUAAAUGCUUAAAUUAUUCCUGAAAAAAUGAAGCAGAGGCUCCUAAGAUUUUAUUUUUGUGAAGAAUAUUAUUUCUAAAUUAAAAAAAAAACAACUAAAAAUCCCAAACCUCCAAGCUCCUCAAAUCACACAAAGCCCAACCUUGCUUUUUAUGAGUUGCCCACCUCCACCAUUGUUCAGACCUCUCUGUUGCAGUGAAUUUUAAAUUUAAAACUCCCUAAUUUUCACUGAAAUGUAUUUUUCUUAAACACAAUUAUUUCAUAUUUUUCUAUGAAGUCAGAAAAUCAGAAUGAGGUGAAUGAAACAAGGUGGUCAAAUCAGAAAUAUGCUUUGAAACUCAGCUGAAGAUAGCUUUUUUAUUGUCCUGAUUGAAAAAGUCAGCCAGUCAUUUAUAGCACUAAAGAAUUCCCCAAGGACAUGAAAAUAAUUUCCUAUUCUAGGCACCAGAUCCUAAGGUUGCUUUGGGAAAGUUACAAUAUAGGUUUAGUCAAAAGGAAAGCAGCCUAUCAGCUGUCUCAGCAGCAUUACACAUCCAACCCUGGUCACCUUUUAGAUUUGUUAGCUACCAUAAUACCAUUAAGCAUUUAACUGCACCAGCAGAUUUAUCCCAGUCUCUACAGAAUAUCGGUUGCUUUAUCAGUGUGAUGGAGGAUUUACUGUCAGAUGUGAUCUUUUAAAUGUUUACAGUUGUUGUCUUGCUUGUAGGAGGGUUGGGACUCCUGCCAUAUUUCUAAUCUUCUCUGUUUGGUUACUUCACAAACACAACCUGGAAAAUAGUCUGAGUUUGUAAUAAAUCUGCACUUUAAUCCUCUUCACAUAUACACAAGCGCUCCCAAUCUUGGGAAAAGUAGUUAUUGGAGAACUACUAAUGUAAUUAAAGAGCAUGUCUAAAAGUUUCCAGGCUAAUGCUUUAGAAGACAAGCAAUGCAAAAGGAAAGUAGAAGAAGAUCUAACAAAAAAAUCAGGUAAAUACAGUACAUACACACACACACACAUAUACACACACAUGCACAUAUGUACAUAUAUACAUGCAUAUAUGUACAUAUAACUACAACCUUAGUGUACAUUUUUUAUUGGUCAUGGGUGUGGAACAGAGCAUCUGAUGCUACCUGAAGAGGCUAGAAUGAGUCUGCUGGAAAGGAGAGAACCAAGAACACUAGAGAUCACCAAAUCUUAGGUAUCUGAAAACUGUUCAUGAUUCAGCCUUAAGUCACUUCUCUAUGCAGUAGCAUGUGGUUACAUCCAAUAUAAUACACAGUCCAGACUGAGAACCUGGAAAGAAAACAACUUCUCUGACUGGGAAUUGCACAUAUGAAUGUGAGAAACAUCAGCGCCUAUAACAUAUGCCUAUCUCUCAGAUUAGAGACAGAGACUCUUUGGUGAACUUGGGCUGUCCCUCAGUCUUUCUGUGCCUUGCAGAAGGAUGGCAAGAGUUGUGGAUGUCUGACACAGUCUCUGAACUUCCCUGGCAGAGAAUAUUUCUGCAUGUGUUAUCCAAUAAACAAUUUAUGGAAAGAGGAAUGCACUAGACAUGAUUGAAACCACACCAAAACUCUAUUAACACAGGACAUGAAACAAAGA
Molecule: long non-coding RNA, 2430 nt
Organism: Passer domesticus (house sparrow)
Lineage: Eukaryota; Metazoa; Chordata; Aves; Passeriformes; Passeridae
Exons: 3
Source: RefSeq, a predicted model, not a curated record